Molecule: ribosomal RNA, 594 nt
Filed under: Hansenula anomala
Lineage: Eukaryota; Fungi; Ascomycota; Saccharomycetes; Phaffomycetales; Wickerhamomycetaceae
Description: Wickerhamomyces anomalus partial large subunit ribosomal RNA
Rfam family: Eukaryotic large subunit ribosomal RNA
Source: RNAcentral
UGCGGGGAAAAGAAACCAACAGGGAUUGCCUCAGUAACGGCGAGUGAAGCGGCAAAAGCUCAAAUUUGAAAUCUAGCACCUUCGGUGUUUGAGUUGUAAUUUGAAGAUGGUAACCUUGGGUUUGGCUCUUGUCUAUGUUCCUUGGAACAGGACGUCAUAGAGGGUGAGAAUCCCGUCUGAUGAGAUGCCCAUUCCUAUGUAAGGUGCUAUCGAAGAGUCGAGUUGUUUGGGAAUGCAGCUCUAAGUGGGUGGUAAAUUCCAUCUAAAGCUAAAUAUUGGCGAGAGACCGAUAGCGAACAAGUACAGUGAUGGAAAGAUGAAAAGAACUUUGAAAAGAGAGUGAAAAAGUACGUGAAAUUGUUGAAAGGGAAGGGCAUUAGAUCAGACUUGGUGUUUUACGAUUAUCUUCUCUUCUUGAGUUGUGCACUCGUAUUUCACUGGGCCAGCAUCGAUUCGGAUGGCAAGAUAAUGGCAGUUGAAUGUGGCUUCACUUCGGUGGAGUGUUAUAGCUUCUGCUGAUAUUGCCUGUCUGGAUCGAGGGCUGCGUCUUUUGACUAGGAUGCUGGCGUAAUGAUCUAAUGCCGCCCGUCUGAA